This 417-nucleotide unclassified non-coding RNA is filed under the name soil metagenome. Its description in RNAcentral is "partial contains 5.8S ribosomal RNA, internal transcribed spacer 2, and large subunit ribosomal RNA". The stretch from base 1 to 120 matches the Rfam family "5.8S ribosomal RNA", at positions 35 to 154 of the family's 154-position model. The record is from RNAcentral.
GAUGAAGAACGCAGCGAAAUGCGAUAAGUAAUGUGAAUUGCAGAAUUCAGUGAAUCAUCGAAUCUUUGAACGCACCUUGCGCUCCUUGGUAUUCCAAAGAGCAUGCCUGUUUGAGUAUCAUUAAAUUAUCAACUGUACCAAUUUGGUUGCAGAUUGGAUGUGGGAGAUUUUGCAGGCUUUUGAUUUCUCUUUGAGAAAACGGUCAGCUCUCCUGAAAUAUAUUAGCAGUGCCUUUGUUGGUUCAUUAGGUGUGAUAAUUUAUCUACAUCUUCACAUGGUACCUUCAUUUGUGUAAAGGUCAUAUUGCUUCUAAUUGUUUUUGGACAUAAAAAAAAAAAACAUAUAAUUGUAUGGAAAACUUGAUCUCAAAUCAGGCAGGACUACCCGCUGAACUUAAGCAUAUCAAUAAGCGGAGGA